UUUUCUUCCCUCAUCCAUCCAUUUAGGGUAUGCAAUCUACUGCAACACCUUUGAGGGGAGACGUUUCAUAACUCCUCUCUAUGACGGCGGUUUGGUUUCGUACGACCAAAGCAACCGGGUUUGAGCAGGAGACUGGAGACACAACAGUAGGGAAAGACAAGACGACGGGGGACCUUUGAAGUUGCCGGUGCCAUUUUAAAUAAUCAUGAAAAGAAGGGAACGAAGGAAAACACAAAGUACACGGGCCCCAUCUCAAAGACGAUGCAGGGGGAACCUGUUACUCACUUUCACUGGAGGCUGAUCGGUCUCUCUUGAAUUAUUUUUUGAUGUGUCGAUAUGAAAUGAGUAAACAAAAUUUCUGUGCAUGUAAUGGGAUCUUAAACACAUUUAUUUUGUCCCUCUUUGAACUGAAUGAGAGUUCUUUGGUUUCUUUGCCAUUUUUUGGGAAUUAAAUUUUGAGUAAAUUAAACGUAAGAUCAGAGGAAAGCCCCCGCUGUGACGACAGCGCUGGAAGUGAUAUGUAGUUAUUAAUAUAGACCACAGUGGGUAUAUUAACAAUCUACAUCCGUAUCCAGUCAGUCAUCUCAUUUCUAUGCUGCUAGAUCCUUGUUACAAUGCAUACUUGUUUCCACAGAAAAUGGACGUUCAUAGUUUAUCUUUUUAGUAUGGAUUGGAAAAACUGUUUCUAAAAAACAUACAUUUUAAAACGUUCUUUUUUCAAUGGGGUGAUGUAGAUAAACAGAGAUGAGACAUCUCAGCUCUUCACACUCAUUGAGCUGCUUACUCAAAAUCAAGCAAAAAGGAUUUUAAAGUAAUUUGUAUUCAUUUGUGUAUAUAUAUAUUAGUGUUUAGUAGCAGAAAUGUACAAAAUGUAACAGGAGAUAAGCACAAUAAACGAGGUGUGUGUGUGCAUUUGUCUGUGUAUCUGUGUCUAUUGAGCAGAUGAGUGACAAUGUCGUCACUGUGUGCUUUGUGUAAAUACUCUUUUUUUGUCUCGAUGUCGUCAGAUGGACGUCAGAUGGACGGCAGAUCCCGGCGCCUCUUCCUCUCCGUUUUUUCUCAGUCUUCAUCGUCAGACGAAUCCUCCUCUAGUUCACUGGUGCGAUCGAGCAAGUGCUCCACAGCCUCCAGGGCUCCCUUUUUAUUUCUG
Molecule: long non-coding RNA, 1150 nt
Organism: Gasterosteus aculeatus aculeatus (three-spined stickleback)
Lineage: Eukaryota; Metazoa; Chordata; Actinopteri; Perciformes; Gasterosteidae
Source: Ensembl